Molecule: transfer RNA, 85 nt
Filed under: Felis catus (domestic cat)
Lineage: Eukaryota; Metazoa; Chordata; Mammalia; Carnivora; Felidae
Rfam family: tRNA
About the family: Transfer RNA (tRNA) molecules are approximately 80 nucleotides in length. Their secondary structure includes four short double-helical elements and three loops (D, anti-codon, and T loops).
Source: Rfam by way of RNAcentral
GCCUGGGUGGUUCAGCCAGUUGAGCGUCUGACUUCGGCUCAGGUCAUGAUCUCGCAGUUCGUGGGUUUGAGCCCCAUGUCAGGCU